UUUCCCUCAGGAUAGCUGGCACUCGCUUGAGCGAGUCUCAUCUGGUAAAGCGAAUGAUUAGAGGCCUUGGGGCCGAAACGACCUCAACCUAUUCUCAAACUUUAAAUGGGUGAGAUCUCUGGCUUGCUUGAACGUUGAAGCCACGAGAUUAUAUUUAUAACGGAUCAGAGUGCCAAGUGGGCCAAUUUUGGUAAGCAGAACUGGCGCUGUGGGA
Molecule: ribosomal RNA, 214 nt
Filed under: Reikosiella sp. D1960
Lineage: Eukaryota; Metazoa; Arthropoda; Insecta; Hymenoptera; Eupelmidae
Description: partial 28S ribosomal RNA
Rfam family: Eukaryotic large subunit ribosomal RNA
Source: RNAcentral